Molecule: non-coding RNA, 112 nt
Organism: Cordylochernes scorpioides
Lineage: Eukaryota; Metazoa; Arthropoda; Arachnida; Pseudoscorpiones; Chernetidae
Source: the annotation of a GenBank genome assembly
ACUGCCAUAGUACAUUGAAAACAUCGUUUCUUGUCCGAUCACGAAGUUAAGCAAUGUCGGUCCCAGUCAGUACUUGGGAGGGUGACCACUUAGGACCACCUGAUGCCUUUUA